Molecule: transfer RNA, 82 nt
Filed under: Ameiurus melas (black bullhead)
Lineage: Eukaryota; Metazoa; Chordata; Actinopteri; Siluriformes; Ictaluridae
Rfam family: tRNA
About the family: Transfer RNA (tRNA) molecules are approximately 80 nucleotides in length.
Source: Rfam by way of RNAcentral
GUCAGGAUGGCCGAGCGGUCUAAGGCGCUGCGUUAAGGUCGCAGUCUCCCUCGGGGCGUGGGUUCAAAUCCCACUUCUGACA